RNAcentral lists this ribosomal RNA (253 nucleotides) under uncultured bacterium. Its description in RNAcentral is "partial 16S ribosomal RNA". It matches the Rfam family "Bacterial small subunit ribosomal RNA", at positions 524 to 776 of the family's 1533-position model. The record is from RNAcentral.
CACGUAGGGCGCGAGCGUUGUCCGGAAUUAUUGGGCGUAAAGAGCUCGUAGGCGGCCUGUUGCGUCCGCUGUGAAAGCCCGGGGCUCAACCCUGGAAUGCCGGUGGAAACUGUCGAGCUAGAGUCCGGAAGAGGCGAGUGGAAUUCCUGGUGUAGCGGUGAAAUGCGCAGAUAUCAGGAGGAACACCAAUGGCUAAGGCAGCUCGCUGGGACGGUACUGACGCUGAGACGCGAAAGCGUGGGGAGCAAACAGG